AUAACUGGCUACUCUACACAACACAAGUAGAUCCUCACCACAAAAUCCAACUUCGGGGACUAGCUAGUGAAUACCAAUAUGAUGCACCAGUGCCGUCAAGAAACAUCGUUCUCAUAUUACAUAUAAACACCAAUUGAAUCCAGUUGUCCUGUGAACACUCUUGGAUUCCCUACCAGGGCGUGUUACCUUCACUGUGGAAGGUAAACAAACCUGGCCCAGAGGAGGGUGAAGGAUUGGAGGGAGUCGUGGCGGGACGGUAAUACUUGGGAUGUCAAUGAGCUGUUAAAGAUGCCGCAGAGGAAUACUUGUUAGUCACAUGAGGCAGCCGAGGAACACAAGGAAACACCUGGCACAUAUCAUGUGACAAACACCACAAAGGAAGUCAAGGUAACCAUCUGACUGGGCAGGCGUCCUGUGCUGCCUCCACCAUGUUGUCCAGUUCACGUAAAAAGGACAUAACAGCAAGUUGUGACAGCUUAGCAGGAAAAUACAUAAAAAAGGAAUCCCCUCCAGAGGUUCCAAUAAUAAAUAUAUGGCCAAAUGUCGGCCAGAAUGACACGAGAAGACGAAAGAGUAGCCACGCUCCACCUUAUGUGAGUAGCACCAAUCCACCCUCCCACCAGGCCUCUCCCAUGCUGCAGAAGUACUCAGCUGGCUCAAGAGGACAAGUCAGUGGGAAACCUCACGGGGGCACAGAGGGAAAAUACACCCCAAAUGUUGGAGAAGUAGUUCAGCGUAUGGGGGGCCUCUACCUGGGCAACAGAAGCAGUUUGGAUGGCAUGCUUAAGCAACAGGCACCCCCUCCUUCAGCAAUGUUUAAUCAUACAUAUGUCAACCACUACACUGGCUCUCAGCACAGCUUAGAUCAGAUAUUGUAUGGUCCCAGUCACAUCAGAUCUCCUCUAGAUCAGCCACCACAACAUGGAGCAAGUUUCUCUUUUCUGGUUCAUUCUGGACAGAAACAAUUGUCUCAGUCCAGCACCCAUCUGGGAGGUGGGUCUCCACAGCCUCCUUCCCCAAGACUAGAGCAGGAACUGCCUCUCCCUCCUGGCUGGUCAGUGGACUACACCUUAAGGGGACGCAAAUAUUACAUUGAUCAUAAUACAAAAACUACUCACUGGUCACAUCCUUUGGAAAAAGAAGGACUUCCAGCUGGAUGGGAGCGAAUUGAGUCUCUAGAACACGGGGUUUAUUACGUCAACCACAUCACCCGACAGGCUCAGUACGAGCACCCUUGUGCACAGCAGUAUCUUCCAAGGAUUCCUGAGAACACUGCCAUGGGGCCACAUAGGGCUCUUCCCAUUCCUCACCACACAGACUUUCGCCAGCCUCUGUCUCUGAUGCCUGCCUCCCCAUACUUGCACGAAGAAAUCCCAUACUGGCUUAGGGUCUACUCCCAGGCUUCUCCCGACCAUGACCACAAGUUAAGGUGGGAGCUCUUUCGACUCCCUGAACUAGACUGUUACCAGGCCAUGCUCAACAGGCUCUUUAAGCACGAGCUUCAUGGGAUUGUCAUGAGUUAUGAGAUGUAUCGCAUAGCAUUGACCCGGGAGAUUGAACGGAGGAUGCAGCAGAUGAACAUAACAACAGGCGCAGGAAGGAGUGGCAGCGGUGUGACCAUCACCGAGAUUACGGACGAAGACGACCAUGGCGAGCACAUCACCACGCCAGAACAUUUCAAGCAGCAGAUACUAAAUGCUGACAACUUAUUUGAGUCAAAAGUGUAAAUGACUUUUACCCUCUUUACUGUCUGCUUCUAGGGAUUGAAUCAUUAUGUUUUCCCAAGGUUAUGAAAUUUUAUGAGGCAGCUUUUCAUUGGGAGAAACUGUUAAGGUUAUGUUUUAGUCUUUGCCUGUGAUUCAUAGAUAUACUGAGAUGUAUGGCUGUGCAUAGCAAAGUAUUAGAAUUUUUUGGCAUUGCACUUUUCCUUAUUACCAAAGAUGACAAUUUUUCUUUUCAAAACAAAAAGAUGUCUGCUUUCUCAAUGUUUCUUGUAUUAGUGUCCAUGUGACGUGUCCAGAGUGCUCCGUUUGAUGAGAUAUCAGGGAAGCGAGUAUAUCACCUGUAGGGUGACGACCACCUCGGAACCUCAGAUAACAUCAACCACCACCAAAGACAAGUGCUCUCUCUCUCUCUCUCUCUCUCUCUCUCUCUCUCUCUCUCUCUCUCUCUCUCUCUCUCUCUCUCUCUCUCUCUCUCUC
RNAcentral lists this unclassified non-coding RNA (2201 nucleotides) under Portunus trituberculatus (swimming crab). RNAcentral describes it as "protein salvador homolog 1-like, transcript variant X1". Lineage: Eukaryota; Metazoa; Arthropoda; Malacostraca; Decapoda; Portunidae. The record is from RNAcentral.